This 253-nucleotide ribosomal RNA is filed under the name uncultured bacterium. RNAcentral describes it as "partial 16S ribosomal RNA". It matches the Rfam family "Bacterial small subunit ribosomal RNA", at positions 524 to 776 of the family's 1533-position model. The record is from RNAcentral.
UACGUAGGGGGCAAGCGUUGUCCGGAAUCAUUGGGCGUAAAGCGCGUGUAGGCGGUCCGGUAAGUCCGCUGUGAAAGUCGGGGGCUCAACCCUCGGAUGCCGGUGGAUACUGUCGGGCUUGAGUACGGAAGAGGCGAGUGGAAUUCCUGGUGUAGCGGUGAAAUGCGCAGAUAUCAGGAGGAACACCAAUGGCGAAGGCAGCUCGCUGGGACGUUACUGACGCUCAUGCACGAAAGCGUGGGGAGCAAACAGG